AGCAGCGUGGCUUAGUGGAAAGAGCCUGGGCUUGGGACUCAGAGGUCGUGGGUUCUAACCCUGUCUCUGCCA
This is a non-coding RNA of Ornithorhynchus anatinus (platypus), 72 nucleotides long. NCBI's taxonomy places the organism in Eukaryota, Metazoa, Chordata, Mammalia, Monotremata, Ornithorhynchidae. The record is from Rfam.